This is a non-coding RNA of Mycena rebaudengoi, 104 nucleotides long. NCBI's taxonomy places the organism in Eukaryota, Fungi, Basidiomycota, Agaricomycetes, Agaricales, Mycenaceae. The record is from the annotation of a GenBank genome assembly.
GGCCUGAUGGUCUAGUAGUAUGAUUCCUUGUUAGGGUCUUCACGUGAUCCUUGAUUACGUAAUGGCGUUCGAGGAGGUCCCGGGUUCAAUUCCCGGUUAGGCCC